RNAcentral lists this ribosomal RNA (218 nucleotides) under Panthera uncia (snow leopard). RNAcentral's name for it is "partial small subunit ribosomal RNA". The record is from RNAcentral. Lineage: Eukaryota; Metazoa; Chordata; Mammalia; Carnivora; Felidae.
UGGGAAUUGUAGCCAAUCGUCGGCAGCGUCAGAUUAUAAGAUGAAACUGGGAUUAGAUACCCCACUAUGCUUAGCCCUAAACCUAGAUAGUUAGCUCAAACAAAACUAUCCGCCAGAGAACUACUAGCAACAGCUUAAAACUCAAAGGACUUGGCGGUGCUUUACACCCCUCUAGAGGAGCCUGUUCUAUAAUCGAUAAACCCCCCUGUCUCUUAUAC